AUUGAACGCUGGCGGCGUGCCUAACACAUGCAAGUCGAGCGGUAACAGGUGUAGCAAUACAUGCUGACGAGCGGCGGACGGGUGAGUAACGCUUGGGAAUCUGCCUAUUAGUGGGGGACAACCCGGGGAAACUCGGGCUAGUACCGCAUACGCUCUACGGAGGAAAGCCGGGGACCGCAAGGCCUGGCGCUAAUAGAUGAGCCCAAGUCGGAUUAGCUAGUUGGUAGGGUAAUGGCCUACCAAGGCGACGAUCCGUAACUAGGUCUGAGAGGACGACCAGUCACACCGGAACUGAGACACGGUCCGGACUCCUACGGGAGGCAGCAGUGGGGAAUAUUGGACAAUGGGCGAAGACCUGAUCCAGCGACGCCGCGUGGGUGAAGAAGGCCUGCGGGUUGUAAAGCCCUUUCAGUGGGGAAGAAAGCCUCGACCUAACACGUCGGGGUCUUGACGUAACCCAUAGAAGAAGCACCGGCUAACUCUGUGCCAGCAG
RNAcentral lists this ribosomal RNA (493 nucleotides) under uncultured bacterium. RNAcentral's name for it is "bacterial SSU rRNA". It matches the Rfam family "Bacterial small subunit ribosomal RNA", at positions 29 to 514 of the family's 1533-position model. The record is from RNAcentral.